RNAcentral lists this ribosomal RNA (253 nucleotides) under uncultured bacterium. RNAcentral's name for it is "partial 16S ribosomal RNA". It matches the Rfam family "Bacterial small subunit ribosomal RNA", at positions 524 to 776 of the family's 1533-position model. The record is from RNAcentral.
UACGGAGGGGGCAAGCGUUACUCGGAAUUAUUGGGCGUAAAGGGCGCGUAGGCGGUCGUGCGCGUCGGAGGUGAAAUCCCCGGGCUUAACCCGGGAGCUGCCUCCGAUACGGCAUGGCUUGAGUCCGGGAGAGGGGAGCAGAAUUCCCAGUGUAGCGGUGAAAUGCGUAGAUAUGUGGAGGAACACCUGUGGCGAAGGCGCCUUGCUGGCCGAUUUCUGACGCUGAGGCGCGAAAGCGUGGGGAGCAAACAGG